This is a long non-coding RNA of Mus musculus (house mouse), 4300 nucleotides long. RefSeq annotates it as predicted gene 10435. NCBI's taxonomy places the organism in Eukaryota, Metazoa, Chordata, Mammalia, Rodentia, Muridae. The record is from RefSeq and is marked validated. The transcript is spliced from 3 exons.
AGCAGUGUACUUGGUCUCCACUGAGGGGUGAGCUCGGAAGAGGUGAUGGGGCAGGGUCUGCUUACCUGAGGUAGGAGAUGACGCCCAUGGCCCUGCAAGAAUGAAAACACCCCAUUUGUGAGUUACACCAGGCCUGUCCCACAGGCAAGGGGUAUGCAUGGGGGUGGGGUUGGGGGUGGGGGGGCUGGAAGAGGAGGCAGAGGCUCCUCAGCUGCCAGACAGACACACGAAGGACAGGGCGACUCCAGAUCAACAGCCCUCUAGGUGGGCCAUCCACUCACCAGAUGUCUGAGCCCUCGCUCACAGGAUUCUGCUCAAUGAUCUCUGGGGACACGAAUUCGGGUGAGCCAUACUUGCUGUACUGUGGCUCUGAAGGGGUGAUCUUUUGGGCAAAGCCAAAGUCACAGAUCUUGAUGUCUUCCCGAGCUGGGUGCACCAUCAGGAUGUUGGGGGGCUGUCAGACAGAGUUGAGAAGUUGUUCAAGGCUACACUUCAUGAAAAAGGUAACUCCUACCCUCUGGGCCUAGGAGAGCACUGAAGAGUCCUUGAGGCUAGUAAAGGGCAGUGGGGAGUCCCCAGGACCGAGAGGGGAAUCACAUCUACUCCAUGAGAGCCAAACCCUACCCGAGGUAGUAGAAACCAAGCACAGGCUGGCUCCCAGCUGUGCCCACCACGAGUUCUGGGGAUGCCGUGAAUGCAAUACCUUUAUGUCCAGGUGGAGGAUACCAUGGCUGUGCAAAUAGUGUAGGCCUUCCACCAGCUGCUGGAUAUAGACUUUGACCUGUGGAAAAUGCCAGGAUCAGUUUGGAACCAGCCCCCAAGAGGCUGGCUCAGGAACCUCCUGAAGGCUGACCCAGGUGAGGAGCCAGCCUCAGGUACCUCCUGAAGACCUGGUCCAAAUGAGGGGCCAGCCUCAGAAAACUCAUGAAGGCCUGACCCAGGUGAGGGGCAAGCAUCAGGUACCUCCUGAAGGCCUGACCCGGGUUGGGGGCCAGCUUCAGGUACCUCCUGAAGGUCUGACCCAGGUGAGGGGCCAGCCUCAGGUACCUCCUGAAGGCCUGGCCCAGGUGAGGGGCCGCCUCAGGUACCUCUUGAAGGCCUGGCCCAGGUGAGGAGCCAGCCUCAGGUACCUCCUGAAGGCCUGACCCGGGUAAGGGGCCAGCCUCAGGUACCUCCUAAAGGCCUGAUCCGGGUAAGGGGCCAGCCUCAGGUACCUCCUGAAGGCCUGACCCAGGUGAGGGGCCAGUCUCAGGUACCUCCUGAAGGCCUGGCCCAGGUGAGGGGCCAGCCUCAGGUACCUCUUGAAGGCCUGGCCCAGGUGAGGGGCCAGCCUCAGGUACCUCCUGAAAGCCUGACCCGGGUGAGGAGCCAGCCUCAGGUACCUCCUGAAGGCCUGACCCGGGUAAGGGGCCAGCCUCAGGUACCUCCUGAAGACCUAGUCCAAAUGAGGGUCCAGCCUCAGGAACCUCCUGAAGGCCUGACCCAGGUGAGGGGCCAGCCUCAGGUACCUCCUGAAGGCCUGGCCCGGGUGAGAGGCCAGCCUCAGGUACCUCUUGAAGGCCUGGCCCAGGUGAGGGGCCAGCCUCAGGUACCUCCUGAAAGCCUGACCCGGGUGAGGAGCCAGCCUCAGGUACCUCCUGAAGGCCUGACCCAGGUAAGGGGCCAGCCUCAGAUACCUCCUGAAGGCCUAGUCCAAAUGAGGGUCCAGCCUCAGGAACCUCCUGAAGGCCUGACCCAGGUGAGGGGCCAGCCUCAGGAACCUCCUGAAGGCCUGGCCCAGGUGAGGGACCAGCAUCAGGUACCUCCUGAAGACCUGACCCAGGUAAGGGGCCAGCCUCAGGUACCUCCUGAAGGCCUGGCCCUGGUGAGGAGCCAGCCUCAGGUACCUCCUGAAAGCCUGACCCGGGUGAGGGACUAGCCUCAGGUACCUCCUGAAGACCUGGCCCAGGUGAGGGGCCAGCCUCAGCCUCCUCUAUUCCAUAGGAGCUUGCUUCGAUCAUCAAGCCUUCCUCCUCUUAAUUCAGGCCCCAUAGGUCAAGUGACUGACAAAGUCACAGGUCAGGAACUGCAAGCCCCAGGGCUGGGUGUUUCCCAAAGGUGGGCUGAGCCUAAAUAGGCAGGAAGCAUCAGUCUGCUUAAAUGAGGGAGGGGCAGAUAUCACUAGUACAGCUGUUCCCCUAUGGUCAGGACGGGUGGCAGAGGCUGGUUAUACCUGGCUACCUUGGAAGCUACAAGAGACUCAAGUCAAAAGAGGCUGUGUCCGGGGACUGGAAUGUAGGCUCUGACUCUAGGGACACACUCAGGCAAGGAGAAGGUAGAGAUUACCUCGGCUUCAGUCACUACACCCUUCUUGAAGAGCCGAUCCAGCAGCUCCUCAGACGAGCACCUGGGUUUCGUUAAGGAAAAGCCGCACAUGACUCCCCGGGGCCUGUGCUCCCAGAAAGGUACCCAGACCUCCUGUGAACCACAUCUAGAGGUGCUGGUAUUCUGAUGAAGGAGAGUGGAAUGAUGACCCCUGGGUCCCAGAUGGGUCACAUCCCUGAGAAAGGGACCUUCAGAAAGACCCUCUGGUGAGUGGGGCUGUGAGCAGCAGCCUAAUGGAACUUGGACACUCUUGCAUCUCUGCACAGAGCCCACUCCAUGCAGCCCUUCACCGGGAUCCUAGAACAAAGCUUUAGGAGUGAAAGGGCAGCCAGAAUGUGAAAUAAGUAAGAGCCCCAAACACGCCCCCAUGGGUGUGACGGAGGCCAAGAGCAGUUGGAAUGGGAGCCCCCUCUCCAAUACCUAAGAGGUUACCUCUGAGAGGGGUCCCAGGCCAUCCUUGCUAAGAAUCAAGAUUGUGGCGGCCCCCAUCUGUGACCCACAGAAAGGAAAGAUCUCAUGUCCAAAACCCCAACCGUGCCACUUCUAGUUGCAGGCUCAGGAGCUGCUGUCACACACAGUCACAGCAGCAGGAACAGGAUGCUCAGAUGUGGGGCUAGUACAUGUCAUGAUAGCACUGAGGUUGAGGGACCCCCACACUCAGCAGCUCCAGCCCCAGUCUGGGACCUGAUGCCUUUUUGAACUCUCUCGGGGGUUCAGGUACAGGAUACAGUUCCAAGAUAAGGAUGAGAGUCUUCCGGGUCUCAAAUUGAUCCAGGAGCCCAGUGACCAGUGGGUGGCCGAGUGUAGCCAAGAUGUCUCGUUCCUGGUAUGCCUGGGCCCGAGUUUUACUCCGUAGGGGGAUGAACUUGGCGGCACAGAACAUCUUGUUUCCUUUGUGCUGAACCCUUUUCACAAACCCAAACACACCCCUGGGGUGAAGAAAGAGAGAGGGGACCCACAGUAGGUACCAUGCUGAGAGUGUCCUGGGAAGGACUGGAAGACUGUGGAGCGGGUGAGGAAGCGGUACCUCCCAAUCUCUUCUUGAACGUCAUAGAAGGAAUGCAGUUUUCUCCGAUAGACUUGAUUUUCGGCAUCUAGCUUGUCCCCUGCAGUCAAAGCACAGGACAUGGACAGUAUAGGCAAGCCAUGAAUUGACCCCACUGCUCUCCCAAUGCAAUGACAAGGGCUGCUCCCUGGCCCCUGUAGCCUGCCCUGGGAGGGCCUUGGCAGAACCAGCCAACUCACCCCCAUGGACCAGCAGCUCUGCCUUGCAGAGCACCUGUCCACCUGCAUUAUUGGCAACACAUGUGUAGACACCGGCAUCGUGUGGAGCCACGUCAGUCAACACCAAGGAGUAUGUCGUUCCAUCUUGCCGUUGGCUCAGCCGGGCACUGCUCGUCAGCUGGGUGCUGCCCUGGACAGACAGAAGAUAGCCUGGGGUACCAUCAGCCUAUCCUGGAAUAUGCCACACCCUUCCCAGAGCAGUCCUUCCAAUACCUGCUGUGUGCCCAGACCCAGGUGCAAGUCAGAAGUGGAUGGGGAGGUACUGGUUAGGGCUAGAGAGGUGGGGCUAUGGGGUGGGGGUUACAGAUUGCAUGGUGGGGUGCAUGAGGCCCCUUCCACACCCCCAUGUGGUCUCAUGCAUACAUGCACCCGUGCCCUCCAGCUCCCAAAGCCUGUCUCCUCCCCACUGCUGCCUGGGCCUACUCCUACCUUGUACCAGGUUACUAUGGGUGGUGGGUGGCCUUCAAUGACAGCAUCAAACUGUGCCAUGUCCCCUACUUGUACUUGUACAUCCUCAAUAGUGACCUGCAUGGACGGGGCCCCUGGGAAAGGAGGGAAGAGAACCUGUGUGGAGCGACCCUCGGGCUUCAUAGCCCUAGGCACAUAGCCAACCAUGUAUAUCUCUGGUCAGUAAAGUCUUAUGUCCCUCGAA